AGAGGAAAACUUUUGGUUACUGCUAAUAAUCUUUUGUCAAUUUAGUUUGGCUUCCUCUU
RNAcentral lists this transfer RNA (59 nucleotides) under Cladotaenia vulturi. RNAcentral's name for it is "tRNA-Ser". Lineage: Eukaryota; Metazoa; Platyhelminthes; Cestoda; Cyclophyllidea; Paruterinidae. The record is from RNAcentral.